CCACUCAAAAUUACAUACAUGUAUACAUAUGAAAAUAUCCGUAAAAUGAUAAUCAAUACUGAAAUAAUUAAUAUCUUGUUAUUUCUAACAUGAUUAAAUGAAAAUCUCUUGGAAGAUUUGGACCUUACAUGGUAGAUAUAUGCCAUCUCCUUUCUUAAAUCCACAGCAAACCGUUCCUGGCUCAUCAACCAUGCCAUAUCCAGAAUUAAUCGGAGAUUAUGUGGAGGCUAAGAAUGGAUGACAGACGGAAUUUAUAUUC
RNAcentral lists this long non-coding RNA (259 nucleotides) under Elaeis guineensis (African oil palm). RNAcentral describes it as "long non-coding RNA (EGUI_LNC016492)". Lineage: Eukaryota; Viridiplantae; Streptophyta; Magnoliopsida; Arecales; Arecaceae. The record is from RNAcentral.